CCUGGGGGUGGGGAGAGACAGAGGGAGAGAGGAACACUGUUAGCUCAGGAGUGCAGCGUCUGGUUCUUCCCCACUGGAGACACUUCAUUCUUUGUUAGAACAAGUGACUAGGCAUGAAUAGCAGAUUGCAUUGUAGAAAUGUAAGGUGCCGUUUUCAAUCUAAGCCCAGGCUGCAGGUAAGGCGUGUGUGUGCAUGUGUGCCCCUUCUGUUAGAGGGUUUGGAUGACAACCAUACCUGUUAACAGCUAAGCUUUUUCAUCUUCUAAAGGGCAAUCAAAGAACAUGAAAUACAUUAUAAAAGUCUCAGCUAAGUAUAUUUUUUCACAUCUAUAUUUCCAUUACCUGGAGGCUGAGGCAGGAGGAUUGCUAUGGGUUCCAGGGCAGCCUGAGGUACAGAGUCAGACCCUGUCUCAAAACGAAAACAACAACAACAACAACAUAAAAAGAAAAAGCACCACCAAUUUAGCUAUAAAACACACAGGCUGCAGAGCGUGAGUCCUCCCUACCAUCUGAAGGAAUCCAUCCUCACGCAUUCGCACAGAGCGCUCACAGAAUAAUUUCAGAAGGCUUAUGUGACUCCAAGGUCUUACAUAAUGGAGAUGCUCUUCUCCUGCUUGGGCACCUUUGCCUGGUGAGUCACGAGUUCCCUGGGGAUCCUCAUGUGCUUUGGACAGCACAGGCUCGUAGAGGCUCCUCUUCCCACCCAGAGAGCCGACGUCUGGUGUGGGGAGAGUGCUUUGCUGUUUUCCCAGGACGGCCUGUGCUGACUGCUCAGCACUGAAUCCUAACUCUGCCUUUCUCCCUUGAAGCUGCACUGCUCAUCAUGUGCACUCAAAAUGUCAGAUGGAGUGACAGAGAGUGGCAAGGCUCUGGGAGAGCGAGCAGUUGGAACACUCAAAAGCCACAGCAUCAUGGAAGUCUGUGGGGUGAGAGAGCCAGUUCUGACUGAACAGAAUUAAAGACCAACCAAACUAACUAACCAAAACUCAGAUAUGCUUAAUGUCUUCCAGCCCCAGUUCAAGACACAGUGAGAGAAUUUCUAUGGUGACCCUUAAAAAAUAAUUUUCUCAUGAGCUAAAAGAUAUGGCUGAAGCCCACAUUCAGAGGAUAGCAAAUCAGAUACCAGACUAAAGGUAUCUUGUUUUUCAUAUGUAAGUGUGUGUAGUGUGGGUGCCUGUUUGAAUGUGCAUGUGUAUGCAUAAAUGUGGGGACCAGAUGCAGAUACAGUGCAUCUUCCUUGAUCUUCCCGCCUUGUAUACUGAGGCAGGGGUUCCUCGGUUGAACCUAGAGCUCUCAGUUCAACUAGACUGGCUGCUUGGCUCACUUUUCCUGGGGACUGGAAUUACAGACAAGGUGGUCUGCCAACACCACUUUAUGUAGGUGCUGUGGAUCCCAACUGAAGCUGGCCCACCUGUGCAUCAAUUACUGCUUAGCGCUGGGAAAGGGCUAUGUGAAGGUCUUUAGGUAAGGCAAAGAUCUGGGUUGAUGAGGACAGGAACUUAAGGCUUUGAACAGAACUAAUCUAAGAAUCUUGAGCCUUUAGAAAUUUCAUCAUAUUGGAAACCAAUCUAUCUCCUAAGAACAUUAAUGUUCUCUUACAUAAAAAAGGUUUCAAUGGCCUCCCGUAGGGUGGCUGCUGGAGAAGGAAGUGCCUAGCCUCUCUAUUGAGGCAGGACCCAUCGUCACCAAUACUCAAGGCCUGUAGUACCACAGAGAGACAUAAGGGACAGUAUGAACAUUUUUCAAUACAUAAACUUGUCAGCCUAGAAGAUCAUUAUCUUGAAGAACACAAAUGGCCAGAAUUCACCUCUGCUAACCCAUGGAACCUGUGACCACUGAAGAGGUUGGAUUUGUCAUUUAAAAGAUAUUCCAUUACCAGAUGGGUUUCUUAGACCCUAACAGUUAAAUCCUAACAAGUAAAGACCAAUAAGGCUUUAAUACAAUUUCCUUUACAGAAAGGAAGAGUUUCCAACUCAUGAGGACAAUAUUUGCUUGACUCCCAAAUCAAACAGAAACCAAACAAACAAAACCUGAGCCCCAGAACAUUAUAGACUAACAUCUCUCAUGAGAAUAGACUAAAAGUUACUCAACAAGUAACAUCAAAAGGGAUUAAAACAACAAACAAACAGACUAUACACAGAGAUCAAGGGAGAGCCACUCUGGGCAUGUAAGGGGCUGAAUAGUUGAAUCUAUCAAUGCGUCAACAAGCUAACUAAGGAGAAUCAUGUGAUCUUAAUAACACUUAUACAAAGCAUUUAAGCUGGGAGUAGUGCUUCAUGCUGGGAAGACGAGAGCUGAGAGGAUACAACAGGACAACGGUCAUGAAUUAAUGGCUAGCUUGGAUUACAUAGUGAGUUCUAGUCCAACCAUGAUUACAGAAUAAGACCUGUACCUCUAAAGAAAGAAAGGACUGGAGAGAUGGCUCAGAGGUUAAGAACACUGUCGCUCUUGCAGAGGACCUGGUUUCAGUUCUCAGCACCUACAUGGUGGUUCACAACUAUCUGUAAUCCCAGUCUAGAGGACCCAACAGGCAUGUAUGUGUGCAUAUACAUAUAUGCAGGCAGUAAUAUACAAAAUAAAAUAAAGAGAGAAAGAGGACGGCAGGGGAGAGAGGAAGGAAGGGAGAGAGGCAGAAGGAGGGAGGGGAAAGAAGGGAGGAAGGGGAGGGAGAUGGGAAGACAAAGCAUUUGACAACAUACACUUCUCACCCUAAAUGGUAUUAGCAACGAAAGAGCAAACGGUGUUCCCUUAAGAUGACAGAUGAGAAAAGCAAGGAGUUCCUCUCAGAACCACAGCUGAGUGCUAGAAAGUCUAACCUCUGCCAUAGAGCAAGAAAAAGGCAAACAGAAGUAAAGGUCUUAUGUUCUGGCUAUGCAGAAAAAUCCUUGUAAUGUACAAAAAAAAAAAAAAAAAACCCAACAAACAAAAAACAAACAAAAAAACCUAGUAAGCAACAGCAAUAAGACAGUUGCAAAAACAAAUUGUAUUUCUUUAUACUAACAAUGAACACAUGGAAAUUGAAGUAAAACUACCAUUUAUGACUACAAAAAGAAAACCAAAUCUCUGGGCAUAAACAAAGCAUUUUAGCAUCUGAAUGCUAAUAAUCAUCAGUUGCUGAUAAAAGAAAUAAAGGAAAGCCUUGUUAGUGGAGACACACCACACUCAUCAGUAGGUCCAGGACUGCAGACAUCAGUUCUGAGCAAACUGAUCUCUGGGCUAAAUGUAAUUCUCAUAGGAAAUCUAAAAAGGGGUUUUGGAGACAAAACCAGCCAGCCAGCCAACCAACCAGACCCAAGAAUAAGCUAAAAAGCAAAAACUAAAACAAAAAAACGUAGACCCAAGAAUGAGCUAAAACAACUUCCAAGAGAAGAAGGAAAUAAGCUGUCAACUCUCCUUGUGUUAAGUCUAUGACAGCUGCAGGUUGAUGCUGGGUGAGAGGCAGAUCGAUGAAAUGAACCAGGAUCUUAGAAAAGCUGCAUGAGUGUACGUAACAGAGAUGGCUGAUCGACGCUGUUGAUCAGCAGGAUUUAGGAUCAUCAUGGAACCAAUCCCCUGGGCAUGUCAGAGAUUUUCUAGAUUAAAUUAAUUGAGGUAGAAGACCCACCUUAAAGGGCAGGUGGCACCAUCACAAGUUCAAUGUUAGCCUGGGCUACAGAGUAAGCCAGAUGUGAUGCCACCUUUAAUACCAGUACUCAAGAGGCACAGAAGGCAGAUCUCCGAGUUCAAGGCCAGCAUGGUCUAUGAAGUGAGUUCCAGGACAGCUAAGGCUACACAGAGAUAACUUGUCUUGAGAAACCAAGAGACAGAGACAGACAGAGACUUUGUCUCAAACAAACAAACAAACAAACAAACAAAACAAAACCAACUAAAUUAAGCAAACCUGUCUUUAAAAGACAAAGGGCAGUAAGGAAACUUGGCUUUGCCGAGCUCUCCUUUGUGGUCCCAGGGAAUUGCAGCACGGCCAGUGCUAGGCAAGUGUGCUCUGCCCUGAUCUGUCUCCAGCUUUUACUUUCCACUUUGAGACAUGGCCUUUUUUCUCACUAUGUUUUCCAGGCUAACCUUGAACUUACUCAACAGCCCAGGAAGAUGCUGGAGUUGCAAUCCUCUGCCUCAUCUACUCCCUGGUCCUGAACCCCCAAGCCUGGCUGGAAUUGUUUUUCUUACUGUAGGAAAUUAUAUACGCUUUUUGUUAGUUUCCAUUGCUGGUAAGUUUUGUUUGAUAGUGUGGGGUGGUAGGGUCUAGGGACUCACAUGCUAGGCAAGCACUCCGAUGCUGAGCAAUGUUUCCACCCUUCUCUGUUACUAAAGUCAGAACUCUACCUGUAGUUAUUUUUAUUCGACAUUGGGAUAUAUACAUUUGUAUAAGUCACAAGUAAAAUGGCUUUAGACACAAAAGAUAUUAAGUGUAUAAUGCAUUUUGGAGAAUUAGCUGAUAAAAGUGGACUCUGCCUUUCACGAUUUAUUUUAGCUUUACUUGUUUGUGUGUGUUUGUGUGGGGCUGUGUACACGAGUGUAGCUGCCCUCAGAAGCCGAGGGACUGGAGCCUCUGGAGCACACACAACUGCUGGGGAGUGCUCCGGCUUAGUCUUGGUUUUAACCAUAAUUACGGGAAGCCAACUCCUUCGUAGCAAGGAUAUUCUAUCCUUAAUGCUGGAACCAGUAAGCUUCUAACUGUUAAGCCUCUGAGUAAAAGAAGGAAGUCUAUGAAGGCCUGCUGGCAGGAUGAGUGGCCCAGAGGUUCUACCUGGGCUACAAGGACACGACAGGGUUGCACACUUAUCUGUUUCUGAGAGGCUCCUGUAGCAACAGACUGUGUCUGUGUAGUGUGUGGAUGGUCCAGUUGUCUGACGCAAGUUCACUGUGUGCUCACUGUGGCCCCAGAGGCUUGACGGUUUUAAGGGAGAAAGAGAACUAAGCAAUAGCUCCAGUUAGGAAAGGCUGCCGACAAGUUCUACAAAGACCUCGAGGCAUGACGCAUACGUAGAAUCUGUGUGUUUACAGCUGAGGCAGAAGAAAGAGCAUUUGAGCUAGUUUUAAAAUACAGAACUACGAUGAUUCCUUACGAGACAAAUCACAACGCUGCUGGCACAGACUAGAGCCCACAAGCAUCGUGAGAAAUGUGGGAUUUUCUCUUGUAAUGUGUUUGCUGAUUAAAAAUAAAAAGCAUAUCUUUGACUCAUUACAGAAAUUCAAGCCAAAAGAAGAAUAAUAUUUAUAUGAGCUGAUAGAAUGAAGUCCCACGCACAUAACUUGUGGAAAAGCCACCUAACAGUGUGUCGUAUACUGUUACAUUUAUGCUGUGGCAAUUUUCUCACGAGAACAUCCCCGUGCAGAACCAGAGGCUGCCCUAGACUCUGGGAGCAGGAAGAGUUAGGUGAUGUAGUUACUGUAAAUUCCUAGUACGGAGCACAGCACACAGUAGGUGGUUGAUUAGUAAUUUCUGAAUAAGGCAAGGAGAAAGAAACAGAACACCUGCUGGCAGUUAGUUAAGACAGGCCUGCGUUCCCAGCUACCCAGGAGGCUGAGGCAGAAGAACACAGAAGAACAGCAAGUUCAAGGCCAGUUUGGGCAACAUAUGAGUCCUGGCCUCAAAAGAUGAAAUGUAAGGAGGGCAGGAGUGGGUGUAGCUCAGUGGCCCAUUACUUGCCUAGCACAUGGGAGGUUCUAGGUUCCAUCCUGAUACUAGGGGAAAAUAAAAACCAAACAAAUAUAUAUCUUUUGAAGAGUAUUUUUCUUAUGGGACCUAGCAUAAGUUACCUUGAGGGUGUCAAUAGGCUUCUCUUAGAGGGAAAAAAAAAUCCCGAACAUCCAUGCAAAUAAUGUAUUUCUGAUAUGACUUGGUUUUCUAGAAGGAAGUGAUAUGAAUAAAAGAAAGGGCAAGGAGGUGUGAAACAUCUCACAGGAGAGCACACCAGGAAAGAACUAUCUGGAAGAGGUCAUUAAAAAGUAGACUGCCAUCUAGAGGGAGGAGGGAGUGUGGCCGUGUUCUGCACACCUAACCAAAGGGUCCUGGUCCCAAGGUGCAAGGACCUCGAACCCACAGUGCUCAUGUAGUCACUCUGCAGCACAGACUAAGACUCCCUCCAAGAAUCAGAGUGUCAUUCCAGGACUGACAGCAGCCUGAAGGGAGCCACCUCACGGCUGCCUCCCCCAGGCCCUUUUAGUGUGCAUAGGUCAAUACAUGCCAGUGUGUGCCUUCUGAGAUGCACAGAGCACCAAAGUAUUUCUUACAAGGAAUCAGUGGCCUACUCAUGUUUUAGCAAUUAAGGUUCAAUUUCUAAAUUGAUUAUCAAUUUUUAAAAAUAAAAUUCUAUCUUCUUUGGUAAGUCAUGACAAACCUUUUCUACAAAUAUACAGUUGUUUAUAUGUAAUAUUGCAUAUGUAUACACAUGUCCAUAAACACAAAUGUUCAUAUUCAUAUUGACAGAAAUCAGUUGAUAUUAUGUAUACUUUUAUGCAACAUAUCGUCAAACAUUCUGGUAAAUUAGGAAUUUUUUGUUAUGGCCAGCAAGGUGGCUCAGUGCAUAAAGGCAUUUGUGAUGCUAAACUCCAGACCUGAGUUUGAUCAUCCCUGGAGCCCAUGUAAAGAUGGAAGAAACAACUUCACAAAACUGUGCUUGGACUUUCACAGACGUGUUACACACAUACAUUUUGUUUAGAAAUGUAAAAACAAUCUUGUGUGCAUAUAGGGUUGAAAAUUAAAAAUGCAAGUGUGCCAACCACAUUCUGGCUGGAGCUUGUCUCCAGAAGUUAAUUGCUGGCAAUGGUUGCCAGUGUGACGGCAUGUUUGGCAGAACCUUUAAGAAAUGGGGCUAUUAGGCUGAUGAGAUGGCUCAGUGGUUAAGAGUGCCGACUGCUCUUCCAAAGGUCCUGAGUUCAAAUCCCAGCAACCACAUGGUGGCUCACAACCAUCCGUAACGAAAUCUGAUGUCCUCUUCUGGAGUGUCUGAAGACAGCUACAGUGUACUUACAUAUAAUAAAUAAAUAAAUAUUAAAAAAAAAAAAAGAAAUGGGGCUAUCAUGAGGUGUAGGAUCCUGGAAACUUCAGUGUCAUGAGUGGAUGAUACCUGUGCUGGGCUGAAUAUGAAUGGUUCCCAUUGGCUCACAGACUUGAACACCUGGUCUUAGGGAGUAGCACUACACUUAAUAGGGAUUAGGAAGUGUAGCCUUGUUGAACUAAGUGUGUCAUGGAGACGGGCUUUGGGUCAAAUGCUCAAGUCAGGCCCAUGGCCUCUUCCUAGUGCCUGCGGAUCCUGAUACAGAACUCUCAGCGACCUCUCCAGUACCAUGUCUGCCUGUGUGCUUACACACUUCAUGCUAUGACAAUAAGGGACUAAAACUGGAAAUGUACUCAUGCCCAAAUUAAAUGCUUUCCUUUACAGGAAACUGCUAUAGUCACAGUCUCUCUUCAUCGCGAUAGAACAUUGAGUGAAUGAGCCUGAUCUGGUGGCUUUGGAAUAAGAAGGGCGGAGCCCAGCUUCUGCCAUGCCUUUCACUUCUCCUGCCUCAUCACAUGUCCUUGUGUCACUGAGGUGCCACCACAGCUGACCAGAUGCUAGCUCCAUGCUCUUGAGUCUCUGUGACUAUGAGCAGAAUAAACAUUCUUUCUUUGUAGAACACUCUGCCUCUAGUAUUUUUUGAAGGAACACAAAACAGUUAGGCAUCUCAGACUUUGUAAUUCCCAAUUCCUCCUUCCAAGACUAGUCACAAAAAUGGUUGACUUGACAUCUUUCAGGCUUUUCAGUGCAUGUGCAUGUGAAUGCACACAGAUAUACACAUGUGUGUUUCUUUCUAUUCUCUUUUCCAAGAUAGGGCUUCUCUUUGAUACAGCCCUGGUUAUUCUGGGAUUCACUCUGAACUCACAGAUCUGCCUGUCUCCCAAGUGCUGGGACUAAAGGCAUAUGUCAUCACUCCUGGCUCUGGCUAUACAUAUGUAUUUCAAAACUAUCUUGCUCAGACUACUAGGGAAUAUUAGUUUUGUCUUUUUGAAUGCCCCUUCAACAGUAUUCUCACUGUCCAAUAGAGUGACUGAAAUGCAGGGAUGGAGCCUGACUGCCAGGGUUCAGAGCCCAGCUCCACCAUGAGACUGCUCUAGUGCGCUGAGGAUUACAGUUACGCUGACCACAUGAAGUGCUGAGGGUUAUGACUCAGCUUAGCAAUAGCUGAACAAGGAGGCACCUGAGCCUGGCACACCGUGGGAGGAACUGUAUGGCAGGCUACCGCUCACCUGUCAAGCGGGAGCUCCUGGCGCUGGGUCUUUCCACAGCACCCUCAGGGCCCAACUGCACAAAAGCAGGGCUGCUAGCCACCCAAACCCAGAUGCUGUACUUUCUGUGAUGCAAACUUGAUCCAGCAUUUACGGACGAGCCAUACAGGCGGCUGUUUCUAACUACCCUGGUGAGUUAAGGGAGCCCUUUUAAAGCUGGUGACAGCUGCUUUUAUGGCAAACUGCUUAGGCUACGGGCCCCCAUUGCUCAGGCAAAUCAGGCUCAAUGUUGCUGUGGUCAUUUUUACAAGAUGUGAUUCAUAUUUAAAUUAACAGACUUUGAGUUAAACAGAUCCCUCCCUCCCUCCCAUACAAUAGGUGAGCCUCCUCCGACUAAUCUCAAGAGCAAAGCUGUAGAAGACAUUCUCCCCAAGACACAGAAACCCUGUCUGAUCUUGCGGCUGCUGCUCUGAAGCACUAAGUCCCACCAUGAAGUUCUGAGUAGCAGUCCUCACAAUUGUCCGUGAAAUCAGUCAACCUUCUCUCCCAAUCUGGGAGGAAAAUGAAAAUCUCUUGAGAACCUGCUACAGCGAAGUGAUGGCUUGCUGUAAUAAACACGCCCAGGAAUGUGGACAUAGUGCCACACUGGCUAAUAGAGGCUGGAAGGCUUUGAGGUAUAUGAUAGAAAAAGCCUAUGCUGCUCACAACUGCCACAGACAGAAAGAUAGGAGAAUGUGGUGAGGAAAGACUGGGACUAGAGAGGGUGUUUUUAUGGUCUUAGGGACACAGAGCUGCCUGAACACAAUGCUGAUAUAUGUAGUGUGCUCCUCAUGGCAUAACAGAACACGGCCCUGGAAACCAUGGGCUGCUCUCUGCCUUCACCGAGUCACGUUCUCUGAGGCAGAAAGCAGAACUUAGAGGUGAUAGUGAAAUAACUUUUUUUUUUUUUUUGUUUGGUUUUUCGAGACAGGGUUUCUCUGUAUAGCCCUGGCUGUCCUGGAACUCACUUUGUAGACCAGGCUGGCCUCGAACUCAGAAAUCCGCCUGCCUCUGCCUCCCGAGUGCUGGGAUUAAAGGCGUGCACCACUUCUCUGUGGUUUCUAAGUCAGGUGCCCAGAGCACCCCUUGAUUUGUCGCUUACAGUAAGAUGCGAAGGGAAAGAAGGAAAGCAGGGGAAUUUUAUUGUUAACCAAAAAUGAAGCAGACCUUGAAGAUUUGGAAAAUUCAAGCUUUCUUGAACCAAAUGUUGAGUAUGGUGUGGUGGGGAAACCUUCCUUAACUAGAUCAGGUUGAAAGAGAAGUAAAAAAUAGAUGCUGGAGAAAAGGCAGCAGCUUCAACAAGUGGCUACAUGCAGAAAUGCUGCUCUCUUGGACAGGCCAAGGAAAGAGGAAGAUGGAGGACUGUAAGACAUUUGGGUCUCAUGGGUCAGAAUGGACUCAUGAGCCAUCCAGCUGCAAGCAAGGUCUGCCUGAAGGAAAAAAAAAAUCAGUCUGAGGUGGGGUUUACCAAGCCUGAGGGGUGGGGCUGUCCUGCUAGGGGGCACCAAGAAGACAGUCCAUGGUGGCCUGUGGGGCUUCUGCUUGUUAGAACCUGGGAUCCUUCUUUCCUUCAAAAGUUCUCUCAUCUCAUACUACGCUGUGCAGCCCCUACCUGCCCCACAUCACACACAGGAAUGGAGGGAGACACUGUCUGCUUUCAUGUUUGCAGAUGGGAGUCUUGCCGAGGAAGAGUAAUAUACUAAGUUUGGCCCGUACCUAAUGUAAACAAUAUUUAAGACAAGAAUCUGUACAUUUAAGAGUUGAUGCCAAAGGUGCUUAAUGUUGAAAUGUUCCUCAGCCAUUUGUUUCUCAUCUUGGGAACUGUUUAGUUGUACCCCUUUUAUAAGUUGGGUGGCUUUUUUGAUGUUCACGGUUUUUUUUUUUUUAAGUUUUUUUUUCUAUUUUAGAUAUUAACCUUUUACUGGAUACAUAUUUGGUAAAGGUCUUUUCCCAUUCUGUAGCCUGUCACUUUGCCUGAAUGAUGGUGUCCUUUGUUAUACAGACAUGAAAUCUCCUCCACUGUCAUUCUUAGUGCCAAUGAGCUCAAGACUAUUUCUCACUUUGUCUUCUAUCAGAUCAGGGCGUCCAGCGCUAUGUUAAGGUUCUUAAUCCAUUUAGAGUUGAGUUUUGUGCAGGGUGAGAAAUAUGGGUGUGUUUACAUUCUACUACAUGUAGCCACACAGUUUGACCAGGACCAUUUGUUGAAGAUGCUGUCUUUUCUCCAGUGUCUAUUUUUGACUUCUCUUUCAAAAAUCAUGUGUCUUUGGGUGUGUGGGCUAUGUCUGGGUGGACAUGUUGCCUCAUGUCUGUGAUCCUAAGACUAUGGAGGCCAGCCUGGCUUACAGGAAACAAAAUCUUUUACACACAUUGGAACAAAGUGAGUUAUUUUGUGAGAAAGGCAUGGACUGUGUGUUGGGGGGCGAGUAACACUCUGGAAUCACACAUGGUCUUUAAGUUCCUUUCCUGACAAUGAUCCUAAACCCUUUGGAAUUGUCUGCAUGUGGAUAAUCUGACUGGCCCCUCAGUGCACAAUUACAUAGUUUCCACUUUCAGCCCCACCCAUCUUCCAUCAUCUGGGAGAGCAUAAAGUGCUGAGCGGAGUUGGUUCCCAGUGGCCAGUGACUUCAUCGCUUAUAUCUAUGAAGUACAUUAGAAACUGAAAGAACUGGGUUUGGAUAGCUUCCAGAGAGUAGACAAUGUGGUAUAGAGGGCAGUGGAUCUCAGAGAGCAUGGCUGUUCAGUGCACUUCCCACAUGCCCUGCCCUCUGCAAUUCUUCCCCCUGGCUGCUCAUCAGGAGUCUCAAUAAUAGCAGGGAAACAUAAGUGAAGUGCUUCUCAGAGCUAGGAGCCAUUCUAGAAGAUGAACUGAACCCACGGAGGAAGUGAUGUCAACUGUCUCUAAACAGCCUUCUAUCCAUAGAUCACUGUUGCUUUUAGCCUUGGUUAGAGAAGCUCCUGUUUCUAGUGGGAAGUGGUUAGUGGAGCCUUAUAAUUGGCCAAGGCAUUGAGAGUAAGACUCUGGAGUGUCAAGCCCUAAAUGGAGUAUGGGACACUGUGGAAAGACUGUAAGAGCCAGAGGACAGGAAAGACUGCUAGGAAACACUAAGUGGUUACACCCAUGAGUUCACAGCAGUGGUGGUGAAGCCUGCACAGGACUGAGCCCGUCAACAUUCCAGUGAGAAGAGGAAGGGGCUUAUGGAACCUCCUGCCUCCCUGAGGAUGCCACUUACUGGGAGAGAGGAGUGUCGUAGUUCAAGGUGAUGGAGGUACCACCAGUUGCUCCUCAAGGACAUAACCUCCCAUCCUAACUAAAUGCAGUAAGUGUGCUCUCUCUCUCUCUCUCUCUCUCUUCACUCUCUCUCUCUCUCUCUCUCUUCACUCUCUCUCUCUCUCUCUCUCACACACACACACACACACACACGCACACACGCACACAUUAACAUAGGAAGAUUUGGGGAGACAAAGGGCGUAGAAGUAGAGGGAAGGGGUUAAGAGGACAAAGGAAGAGUAUAUUACCAAAGUACAAUAUACACAUAUACAUACAUGCAAUUGUAAAAGAAUAAGUUUAAAUGUUUAUUUUUAAAAAGUAAAGUUUCCAGAGUGGUGGUUUUUUCCUUGUUUUUCUUAUCUCAAAUGUACUAGAGAUCAUUAUGGGUAGAGUUUUAUCUCUCCCAAAUUCCUUAUAAGUGGUCCCAGCCCCUAGUAUUUCAGAAUGUGUCUUAAUACCCUCCUCAAGGGAGCUGGAUAGAUGGCUCAGCAGUUAAGAACACUGACCACUCUUCCAAAGGUCCCGAGUUCAAAUCCCAGCAACCACAUGGUAGUUUAACCAUCCAUAAUGGGAUCUAACACUCUCUUCUAGUAUGUCUGAACACAGCUACAGUGUACUUACAGAUAAUAAAUAAAUAAAUAAAUCUUUUAAAAAAAGGCCCCCCUCAUUGCAGAGGGGUCCAGCACAUAUCCUGAAGGGAAUAGCACGUGCACACAGAGGCCAAGAAGAAUGCUGAGAUAGACACGUCCUGUUGGAUUCCCAACCAGGUCUAUAACAAUCAUGCCACAGAGUGAAGCUCCCAUGAAAACUCGAGCCAAGGUUCAGGAGCUCUCAGACAGGUGAAUGCAUGGCAGUUCUGGGAGGCUGACACACCAAGGGAGGGUAUGCACACCUCUUCCCCAGGCCUCUUCUGAGCAUCACUGAGUAUGUACUCUCAUGAUGUUCUUUACAAUAAGGUGGCUAUGUACUUUCCUGGGCUCUGCGAGUUGCUCAAAUAAGUUAACUGAACCCAAAGAAUAAACUGUGGGAGCCCUGAGUGUACCUACUACUUAGAGGCAUUGGUCAAGCUAGCUGGGACUUCUGAGUGUUUUGCAGAUGGGAAGGACAACCUUGGGGUCUGAGCCUCAGGCUGUGGGAUCUGCUACCAUGUCCAGGUAGACAGUGCCACACAACUAGUGUCAUGUGUGUGGAAAACCCUGAACACUAUAUUGUGUAUACAGUAAAACAAACAGCACAAGUUUGGAUUGGGGGCUUGUUUGUUUUUCCCAAGAACAAGCAUCAAAUUAAAAAGGUUCAGAGUAGAGCUUCUGUACACAGAGAACAUUAAAAAAUACAAAGCGGUUGGAACAGGAACCUACAGCGAAUCGAAUAGGAUUACUCGGGGCGAGGGAGGAAUAAGCAGAGCUUGGGAGAGGAGCAGGCAGAGACAGGGAAAGGUGGCUUCGUCUGCUGAACGGCGAUCGUGUGCCAGGUGUUUGCCUUCCUCAUCUGUUACUUACAGCUAUGGCCAGCAACGCAGACUGUUCUGUCCCCAUUUUGAGGCUCAGGGAAGCUUGGCAGGCUGCCCAGGUUCUCAGUGCAAAGUCUAUGCUUUCUGUCUCUUAUCCCACUUAGAUUAAGGAACAGAAACAGGGCUGGGGGGAUAUGCCUUGCCCACAAGGCCAUGGGCUCUGUUCCCAGCCCUGGGAGAAAGAAAGAAGGGAAACAAAGACAGGAGAAGAGGGAGGAGAGGGCAGUAGAAGAGCAGGGGGCAGGUUUCAUGAAAUGAUCCAAGGCUGAUGUGGGCACACCCCUGUCACCAUCCCUCAGGAGGCCAAGGCACAAAGUUCCUGUGUUUGAGGUCAACCUUGGCUGUUACAUAACAAGAUUCCAUCUCACACCAAAAUGAUCACAAUGGAACUCACACUGGCACUGACAAGGAGGGAGACGCUCCCACAUUUGGAAAGUUCCCCAGACAACAUGGCUCAGGACUUAGUGAACAUUCGCCAUGAAUGCAAAGCACUCUGCCAAGGAAUACCGAGUGGUACGGGAACGCCGGAACGCCGUUGGAAGCAAUGGAUUCAGAACAGCAGCAAGCGCUCACGUGCGGAGUGCGGCUCGCACUUCCGGUUGUGCCAGAAUGGCUAUCAUCAAGAAAACCAAUGACAACAAAUAUUAAUGAGGGUGUGAGCAAGAGGACUCUCUACUCACUGCGAGUGUGAGGGUGACCAGUACAGCCACCAUACAAGUUUCUGGAGAUAUCCCCCAUGCAGGACCAUUUUUACCACUAAGGAUGUAGUAAGAGACUGACAAUCCCGGAGAAGCCAGCACUCAUGAGGCUGGCACAGAGCGAGAGUGUCAGGGCACUGUGGUAGCCAGCCAGCCUCUACUUGGCUCUCCAGGGCCCUCCCCUCCUAGCUGUGUGAAGAUGGCUGACCGGGUGGUCAACAGGAUUUAAUGUGUGCCUCCGAGUGGGACACAGGAGUCGGGCAUGCUUGCAAACCGUACACUCGGGCAGUCAGCAACACCUGUGUCUACACAGCAACUACUUCCUAACUGUGGCAGAGGCUGAACUGACCUCGCAGGGCAGCCUCUGAGGGUCAGUGUGGGAGCUGGCUUACAUUGUCUGUAUGACGACUGACUGAGGUCAUUCUGCUCACCAUGUGGAAGAAUCAGGCUAUAGUAAAACCCUUUAAGAAUUCA
This is a long non-coding RNA of Mus musculus (house mouse), 14195 nucleotides long. RefSeq annotates it as predicted gene, 34079. NCBI's taxonomy places the organism in Eukaryota, Metazoa, Chordata, Mammalia, Rodentia, Muridae. The transcript has 5 exons. The record is from RefSeq and is a predicted model, not a curated record.